This is a long non-coding RNA of Pseudoliparis swirei, 194 nucleotides long. RefSeq lists it as uncharacterized. The transcript is spliced from 3 exons. NCBI's taxonomy places the organism in Eukaryota, Metazoa, Chordata, Actinopteri, Perciformes, Liparidae. The record is from RefSeq and is a predicted model, not a curated record.
GUGACCAGCAAAGUUACGUGAAUUGAUAUCCUGCAAAAUUAUUGAAGAUAUCAGCACUGGACCCUGAGCAGUGCAUGGCCUGCAAGAUCAUGAGAAGGCUGAAGAACCAGGAGUGACAAGAUACCACUGGAUGGUGGGGCACAUAAUUCCACUCAGGGACAGUGAUCUGAAAAUGUCUGUUUACCAACGGUCCC